AAAAAAAAAAAAAAAAAACCUUCCAAGUCAAGAGAUGCCAGCCUUGAGCAAAUUUCUCACUCAAGUCAAUGGUAUUUGUCCUUUGAUUAUUUAAAUAUAGAUUUCCUCAUGCCUUUUCUGGUAUACAUGCACUUCUAAACUUCUAGACCAAUGGCUGAAAUUUUCACCUAUUUACAGUGUGCUGCAUAUUCACUGUUUAUUAGAAUUUUAUUUUAUUGAAAAUAUUGAUCAG
RNAcentral lists this unclassified non-coding RNA (232 nucleotides) under Hevea brasiliensis (rubber tree). Lineage: Eukaryota; Viridiplantae; Streptophyta; Magnoliopsida; Malpighiales; Euphorbiaceae. The record is from RNAcentral.